This 15103-nucleotide long non-coding RNA is filed under the name Triticum aestivum (bread wheat). RNAcentral's name for it is "long non-coding RNA (TAES_LNC016475)". Lineage: Eukaryota; Viridiplantae; Streptophyta; Magnoliopsida; Poales; Poaceae. The record is from RNAcentral.
ACUACAACUAGGUAGACAGGAUCAAUAUGGAAGAUAGUACGAAGCUAAACAGAUAUAAGUCUUCACAUAAUGAAGUCAAACAAAUCAGGCGGGCAAGCAAUGACUUCACGAAGACAAACUGAAAAGUAAGGAGAGUAGGGGAUAGAACCAGUUGCUUGGUGAAGACAAGGAUUUGGUAGACCAGUUCCAGUUGUUGUGACAACUGUACGUCCGGUUAGGGAGGCUGAGAUUGAACUCAGAAGACUGUGUCUUCACCUUAUUCCCCUUGAGCUAAGGACACCAAGUCCUCGCCCAAUCACUCUGAUAAGUCUUCGAGGUAGACUUCCAAACCUUCACAGACUUUGUUCACCGGCAAUCCACAAUGACUCUUGGAUGCUCAGAACGCGUCGCCUAACUGACUGGAGGAUUCACAUCCCUCAAGUGUAACAAGUCUUUAGAUCACUCGGACAGAAAGACUUCAGUGAUGCCUAACACUCUUUGGCUCUGAAUGUUUUGGGCUUAGUCCUCGCAAGGAUCUCUCUCUCUCUCUCUCUCUCUCAAAUGCUUCGGAGGUGGGUUGCUCUCAAGCGACAAAAGCCGUGCACUAACUCUGAGCAGCCACCAAUUUAUGGUGUUGGGGGUGGGAUAUUUAUAGCCAGGAGGCAACCUGACCUGAUAUGUUCGAAAUGACCCUGGGUCACUAAGGAACUGACACGUGUCCAAUGGUCAGAUUUCAAACUCACGCGGCAGCUUGGCUUGAGCUACAAGCAAAGCUGACUCAUCUAGCUCUGGAUAAGGUUUGCUCUCAUUGUGUUCGCUCCAAGACAUAGGAUUUGGUUGAGAAUCACUUCAGUCACUCUGACUUUGUUCACUUGGACCCCACUUAACAAUACGGUGGUUCAUAUGACUCAAUAAAGAAGAAAGGAAACUACGAAACAGCUAUGUCUUUGCACUCCAUAGUCUUCAAAUGAAUAUCUUCACAUGUCAUAAUCUUCGUCGAGAAUGUCUUCACGAACCACCAUUGUCUUCAAUGUCUUCACACAUUUUUAGGGGUCAUCUCCGGUAGGUAAACCGAAUCAGUGAGGGACUACUUCCUGUGUUAUCCUGCAAUUCUCACAAACACAUUAGUCCCUCAACCACGUUUGUCGUUAAUACUCCAAAACCAACUAGGUGUGGCACUAGAUGCACUUACAAUCCCCCCUUUUUGGUGAUUGAUGACAAACUGGUUGAAGUUUUCAAUGGGGAUAAAAGUAUGUGAAAGUUUAGUUUUGUGAGCAUUGUCUUCAUACAUAAAAAGAGGCUCCUCCUGAAGAUGUGCAUAUAAGUAGUUUUCUUUUGAAUGCAAAUGCACAUGGAAGGUUUUGCUUUGUGGAGGCCUUCUUCAAAGUGUGAAGACAAUUCAUCAUGCAUAUAUGAAGGUAAUGAAGAUAAUGAUAUGCAUAAUGGAAAAUGGACGUAUGCAGAAUGACUUCAUGCGGAAUUUAUCAUCGCAUCACAAAGUGGUAGCAAGAGUAGCAGACGACCAUCAGGUUCAAGUGUUACAACUCAAAAGCCAAAAGUUUCAAAACGAGAGUUGUAAGAACUUAGCAAAAAUAAAGCAACCACCCACAUGGACCCGCUUGAAGACUAUCAACUCAUAUGCUUCUCCCUCUUUCGUCAGUAAUGAACAAAAAGGUUUGAAGACAUAGAGUAUCUACUCGUUCCCAGCUGGAGUAGAGAAUGGAGCAGGGUCGAUGUUGGAGUUUGGUGGUGCAGACGGGCCUGGCGCAGCAUCGUGAUGUAGUGAAGUUAAUGCUGGGGAAGUGGCAUCAUCUUCCUCAAAAUGCAAGUUGGCGUCACACACCCUCCAUUGAAGAUUCUGAGUGCUAAUCUUUGGCUACAACUGUUGUUGCGAGAGUCAUCGAUGAAGAAGAUGACGCCACUUCCCCAUCAUUAACUUCACUACAUCACGAUGCUGCGCUAGGCCCAUCUGCACCACCAAACUCCAACGUCGACUGUGCUCCAUUCUCUACUCCAGCUGGGAAUGAGUAGAUACUCUAUGUCUUCAAACCUUUUUGGUCAUUACUGACAAAAGGGGGAGAAGCAUAUGAUUUUAUAGUCUUUCAAGCAGACGACCAUCGGGUUUAAGUGUUACAACUCAAAAGCCAAAAGUUUCAAAACGAGAGUUGUAAGAACUUAGCAAAAAUAAAGCAACCAACCAUAUGGACCCGCUUGAAGACUAUCAACUCAUAUGCUUCUCCCACUUUUGUCAGUAAUGACCAAAAAGGUUCAAAGACAUAGAAUAUCUACUCAUUCCCAGCUGGAGUAGAGAAUGGAGCAGGGUUGACGUUGGAGUUUGGUGGUGCAGACGGGCCUGGUGCAGCAUCAUGAUGUAGUGAAGUUAAUGCUGGGGAAGUGGCAUCAUCUUCUUCAUCGACGGCUAUCGCAACAACAGUUGUAGCCGAAGAUGAGCACUCAAAAUCUUCAAUGGAGGGUGUACGACACCAACUUGCAUUUUGAGGAGGCCUGGAGUCAAACUUGAAGUUCUCGGUGAAGCCAUCCUCGCGAAGAUCAUCUUCAGCACAGAGAAAGGUGAGGCUCUUCCAGGACCGCCGACAGGCUUCAUGGGCCACAAAUGAGUUCUUGGUGGCCAAGUUGCAAAUUCGAUUGACAUCCACCAAGAUACUUUGCAUCUGACGCUUCAGCUAGUCAUGAUGCUUGUCCUGCUUUUGAUGUAAAUCCACCAGAAGCUCCUGGUCAUUGAGAACACGAGGACGCUUCUGAGGCCUUUGAGCUAUUGUGCUUGCAGUGGCUUCAGUAUUGGCACGGUGCGGUACGCGCAGGUUGCCAUCCAAAGGAUAAGCAGGAGUUGCAGCAUUGGGCACAUGAAUACCUUCAAUGGGUUGUGUGAAGCUCUGGAAUUCGGCAUUCUGAAGGUGGAGGGGCUUCUUGGUAGGCUCGGGGUAGAUGGCUUCAAUAGACAUAUCAACUUUAGGCAGAAAGACAAUAUGGUUGCAUGCUGAAGGCUGAUAGUCAAUUGUUGAACGAAGCUUAAUCAAGCGCAUCACCCAUGGAGCAUAGAAUUUCAGACCAGACAGAUCAAUCCCACAAGCAGCAAGUUGUCUAAUGAAGAAAUUCUGAGUGUUGAAUGCGAUGCUAUUGAUGAUAUAGAAUACCAAAGUGUUCAUGGCACCUACAAGUUUGGCUCCAGAAGAAUUUCCUUUGAUAGGCCAGAGAGUACGCUUCAAAAUAUGGUACACUAUGCGCGGCAAGUACUUAAGGUCCUUGAUAAAGAACUCCUUUGGGUAUUCAGCGUCUUGGGGUAAUGGCUUCAUCAUGCUAAGCAUUUGGCUCAUACUUGGCUCUGGCAUCUGAAAGAUGCACUGCAGCUCAUUCUGAUGAAGCUGACAACCAGGUUCGUAUAACUCACCUCGAGCGGGCAGGGAAGUAAGCUCGUAUCCUGAGCUUUGGCUUCGUGAUGUACAUCACCUGUCAUCCACUCAAGGAUCCAAGUCUUCGGAUCCCUGUUGUGGCCUCAAAUGUGUAGAGUGGCAUAAAACUGCAGUAGAAGCUCUUCAUUCCAGUGUUCCUUAUCAGUCACAAAAGCCAGAAUACCAACAUCCCGAAAGCAGUCAAGGGCCUCUUCAAGACAUGGCAGACCAGCCAUAGCAUCACAAUCCAGACGUUUGUGCGGAAAGAUCCGGUCUUGGUUGUACAGGAUGCAAGAGUAAUAGCUUCAUUGUUGAUGGCUCCAAAAUCUAUUAGAGGAGAUCUUUGGCUUCGUGUACCUGUUCUUGGAGUUGUCGAGAAAGAUUGUGCUAUGUGAAGCUGAGUAUGCUGAAUGAGCCUUGUGUUGUGACAGCACUUGGAAGCCUUGGCAGGCGUGGAUUUGGCUUCUGAACUUGAGGCCUCUGCUCCACAUGAUAAUAAUACUAGGGUGCUGUAGCAGUAGGUGGAACCAUAAUUGGCCAUCUGACAGUGACAAGCUGACCUUCACGAUUGAAAGCCCUUUCCAUGGUAUGAGGAGGUGGUGGAGGAACAGCGCCAUCUCAGGUGAUUGGCGUCACGGUGACUUCAGCAUUCACAUUUGCUUCAGGCUCCACAUUGUCUUCAGCCAUGAUAGGGUCAUUGGCUUCAGUAGCGUUGUUGGUGGCAGCCUGAGUGUUUUCAACCUCCAUCUGUUCAACAACUAGAGGAUCGGGAAUGAUCACAUUCUCUUCAAGAAUGACCUGGUCAUUAGCAGGGGGUGUGGCUUCUUGGUCCUCUUGGACACACGAGACUGAUCUUCAGAUUGCACACUGGAUUCAGGAGGUGCAGUUUUCAGAGGCUUCUUCGUCGAAGCUUUUGGAGCAGCAGCAGCAGAGGGCUUUGAAGCUUUUGCCUUUUUCUUCUGCUUCAGCAGCGAGGGAGCAUCUUCAGAGUCUGCGUCUUCAGCAGAUUGCUCCACUGCAGCCCUCUGGACAGCAAUGUGGGACAGAAGCCCAUCAAAGUUGGUAAAGUGGCCAAUUAUGUUCUCAUUGGCUUCAUGAGUACCAUCUGAUCUAGGAGCAGAUGGGUCAGGGUUGAAGUCGAGGCCAAACUCCUUCUUGUUCUUGACAGCUGAAUCCUUUGCGAACUGAAGGUUGCGCUUGAAGAGGUUAUCGUCACGACACCAUAAAAGAGAUGAUGGGUCGGCAUUCUCAGGCUGUGGUCCUCGGACCAUGCAAGGAUAGAACUCCUGAGCAAUAGCUUCAGCCUUUGUCUUCGGUAGCAAAUUUCUGUACAGACAAUCGCCCCAUGGGUGCUUGAUGGUAUUCUUCUUAGCAUACUCAGGUGUCACAAAGUUGUACGUGAACCAUUGCUCUGCCCAAUAUCUUCGGAUCCAUUGGAUCCUGUUCUUGUGUUGUGUAUAGCUCUCUUUAGGGUCAGACUUGUAGAGCUCAUACAAUUCUGAGGGCAGGUCUAGUGUUGUAUUGCCUCGGUGUUGCCUGCCACCUUUCCAUGCAGACUUCUCAGAAGCCAUAAUAUUCAGAAAUAUAGGCUUCAGAACAGUGAAAGGCUUCCGUCUACUGGUCAAACAGGAGCUGGCUACAGGAGAUUCAAUGUGACGCUGUAAGAAUUCUGUAAAUGAAUGCAGACAAUGAGAACCAAGGGAUUCUCCCACGGACAUGUACAUGUGACAGCAUUAGAGAUGCGAGGGAAGGGGAAGAGGUCAUAUGCAUUCUCAGAAGUUUUGAAGAUAAAUUAGUUAGAAGACAUUGACCUCACAGUGCGAAGACAUUCACUUAUUGAAGGAAGUUGGCUCCAGAUUUGUAAGAAUCCAAGAGUAGGUACAAGUGAGGUAUCUAACUAGUUAUGAAGCAUAAGUGAACAUACUUUGCAAUAUACGAGAUUCAGAAAAAGACAUAUCCAGAUUUGAAGAUGUAGAAACCACUUUUGGUAGAAGUGGAUGGAUUUGACAAAUCAAAAAGACUGUAAAAAGUGAGAUUUAAUUACCACACACAAACUGCUAGAUGAGGCAGAUGGAAGGCCGAGCAGUCCAAUCUCCCGCGCCCUAACUUGGCGGCGGAAGACACCUACGGCAGCGGCGGAGAAGACGAGGUCCGCAGCCGGCGUGAGGACGGCGUCGAAGAGGUCACGGCAGCUAAGCACUUCGUCUCCGGCGUCGACAUGAGCUAGCGGUGGUGCUAGGGUUUGAGCGAGAUGGCGAGGUGGAAGAAGGAAAUAAUGACCGCGAGGGGGCACGUAUUUAUAAGAAGGAGGAGGGCAGCGCAGCGCAAUUAUGUAGGUGCCCCUGGCGGUUAACAUUUGAAGGACACGUGGCAUGCAUGCAACUUAUCAGGAGUUGAAUAAUGUUCCCACGCACGCCUGGAUUGUCGGGUGGUCAUUCCGGCAUCUCCGGUUUUCAGGCAAGGGAUAAGACAUUAAAAGCAGUUUUAAAAGAGUGUCUCUCUAUCUUCUGCUGACAAGGACACAGAGAAGAUAUUCGAUAAGUGUCAAUAGAAUGCAUAUGACUUAGACAGAAAGAAUUUGAGGGAGUAGCACAGAAGGGAUUUGGGUCCGGUCACAUUCACUUGUCAGAAAAAAAUAGCAUCGUCAAGACAUGGCUAUAAGUGAAUGUUGUAGAGGACAGAACACAUAUAUGUAGUAUUGAAGAUAAAUCAACGUUGCGAAGAUAUAGAUUUUGAAGAUAAAUCAAUGUUGAAGACAAUCCAAAUGCAAAGAUAAUGCAAUCAUGACGCCAACUGGAAAUCUUCAAGAAAUUGUGGUGGUGGCGUUACCCACCGUAUAGGAAGUAUUAGACCCAGACACGACGCACAAUUAUGGUGGCGCUCCGAAGUCAAAUUCCACAUUAAUGUAGUCACACUUAGAGGGUAAGUCUUCAUUGAUUGAAAAAAUACGUUACUUCAUGUGUGGCACAUCUAAGUCAUCAAUAUGCAUAAGCGUUAGGAUGUGUGUCCAUUCACUGGACAUUUGAGGAUUCUAAGAUAUUUAGCUCACACCACGGCUUGCAAAACCUCUUCUCAUCCAAGGACUUCGUGAAGAUAUCUGCCAGUUGCUCUUCGGUGUUGAUGUGAAUGAUAUCAUUGUCUUCCUUGUUGACAUGAUCUCUGCGAAAGUGAUGACGAAUCUCAAUGUGUUUUGUCUUCGAGUGUUGAACUAGAUCAUUGGAAAGCUUGAUGGCACUUUCAUUGUCGCAGAAGAGUGGCACAUUCUUCGUGUUGAUGCCGUAGUCCUUGAGAGUUUGCUUCAUCUAGAGAAGCUGAGCACAUCAAGAUCCAGCAGCAAUGUAUUCAGAUUCAGCAGUGGAGACGGAUACACAAUUCUGCUUCUUUGAAGACCAAUAGACAAGAGAUCGUCCAAGAAAGUGACAUGUGUCUGAUGUAGACUUGCGAUCGACCUUGUCACCAGCAUAAUCAGCAUCAGAAUAUCCAACUAGAUCAAACGAUGAGCUCUUUGGAUACCAUAAUCCUAGUGUUGGGGUGUGAGCCAAAUAUCGAAGAAUUCGCUUCACAGCAAGGUUCCUUUGGUGCCGCUUGGAAUCGGUCACACAUGCAAAUGCUAAGCAUAAUAUCAGGCCUAGAUGCACAUAAGUAUAGCAAAGAACCAAUCAUGGAGCGGUAUACCUUUUGAUCGAACUCUACCAUUGUCGUCAGGGCCAACAUGACUUUUGAUUGGCAUUGGCGUCGUGUACCCUUUGCAGUCUUGCAUUCCAAACUUUUUCAGGAAAUCUUUGAGGUAUUUUUCUUGCGAUGUGAAGAUGCCAUUGCCUGUUGACGGAUUUGAAGACCUAGGAAGAAUUUCAGCACCCUCAUCAUGGACAUCUGAUAUUGCUCUUGCAUCAUGUAUCCAAACUCAUCAUUGUAUCUCUUAUCCGUGCAGCCGAAGAUAAUGUCAUCCACAUAUAUUUAGCACACAAACAGUUCACCAUCAUAUGUCUUCGUGAAGAGAGUGGGAUCUAGAGAGCCAGGUUUGAAGCUUUUGCUCUUCAGCAAUUCUUUGAGUGUAUCAUACCAAGCGUGAGGUGCUUGUUUGAGGCCAUAUAGUGCCUUGUUGAGCUUGUACACCAUAUCAGGGUGCUUAGGAUCUUCAAAACCAGACGGUUGAGCGACAUACACUUCUUCUUUGAUUUUGCCGUUGAUAAAGGCACUCUUCACAUCCAUUUGGUACAGAAGAAUGUUGUGAUGGUUAGCAUAGGCCAACAGUAUGCGAAUGGCUUCAAGCCUAGCCACAUGAGCAAAGGUUUCAUUGAAGUCGAUUCCUUCCACUUGUGUGUAACCUUGAGCUACGAGGCGAGCCUUGUUUCUGACAACUUGUCCAAGUUCAUCUUGCUUUUUGCGAUAGAUCCCUUUAGUGCCAAUGAUGUUGUGCUUGUGAGGAUCAGGACGUUUGACAAGCUCCCAGACAUUAUUCAGCUCAAACUGUUGAAUCUCUUCUUGCAUAUCUUGAAUCCAUUCAGGUUCCAUGAAGGCUUCUUCAAAUUUCUUGGGUUCAGAUAUAGAGACAAAAGCAAAGUGACCGCAAAAGUUUGCUAGUUGUGUGAUCAAUAUAUCUAUUCAAUCUGGACUUCAUUUGCGGCUCGAGGAUGAGUUGGACGAAGAUUUUGAUUAGAUUGACUAUUGUCUUCAUCUUCAGCAUUGGCUUCAGACUGAGCAUUAUCUUCAUGUUGAUUAGGUGUAGAAAUGUUGAUCUCAUCCUCAGCCUGUUCCUCGGUGGGUAUGAUUCCUCGGUGGUGUAGCUUCAUCUAGCACAUUUGGCAGGUGCUUUCAAUCAGAAGUUCAUAAGAUGUUUUCUUGAAGAACUUGUGAAGAUAUACUCUGUUUAUGAUGUGGCAUGCAGUAUCAAUGGCUUCGGGCUAGAAUUUUCUUGGAGUCUUCUACUCAUCGAGCAUUGUCCGUGCCAUCUCAAUGAGUGUUUUGUUCUUGCGCUCCAGGAAGCCAUUCUGGUGAGGUGUGUAAGGAGCAGAGAACUCAUGUGUGAUGCCCAAAGUAUCAAGACAAGUGUCGAGGCCAAUGUUCUUGAACUCAGUGCCAUUGUCACUCCAUAUGUGCUUGAUUUUGAUGCCAUAAUUCGUCAUGGCCCGAUUUGUGAAGCGUCUGAAGACAUCCUGCACUUCAAUCUUAUAGAGAAUCAUGUGCACCUAGGUGUAUCUCGAGUAAUCAUCAACAAUAACGAAGCCAUAGAGAUGUGCAGUAGUAGUAAGGGUAGAGUAGUGAGUAGGGCCAAGUAGGUCCAUGUGAAGCAGCUCGAAGGGGCGUGAGGUAGUCAUGAUUGUCUUCGAGGGAUGCUUGGCUCUAGUCAUCUUCCCAGCUUCACAGCCACCACACAGAUGAUCCUUCUUGAACUUGACGCCCUCGAUGCCAAUGAUGUGCUUCUUCUUCGCGAGAGUGUACAGGUUCCUCAUGCCCGCAUGUCCUAGCCGUCGAUGCCAUAGCCAGCAUUCUGAAGCCUUUGCUAGAAGACAUACGGCAAGCUGUGGUCCUGUGAGAAAUCUACCAUAUACAGAUCACCUCUUUGAUAGCCUUCGAAGACUAGAGAUUUGUCAGAUUCCAUUAGCACAAGACAAGAUAUUUUCCAAAUAUCACAAUUAUGUUCAGAUCACAGAGGAUUGACAUGGACAUUAAGUUGUAUCCAAGGGAUUCAACUAGCAUCACUUUAUCCAUGUGCUGAUCCUUUGAAAUAGCAACUCUACCAAGACCCAGUACCUUGCUUUUACCAGUGUCAACGAAUGUGAUGUGGCUCUUAGUAUAUGGACGUAGGGUUGAAUCCAUCGGAAGACUUCGAUCGCCAUUCAUGUGGUUUCCAUUCAGUGCCUUCCGGAGUUGUGCCCUAUAGUGCAGUUAGCGGGAUAGGCUUCACCAAGAGUAUUGUGAAGCAGAAACAUGUAGCGAACAAGCAUAUUAUCAAAGUUUAAAUUCUGGUUAGGCAUGAUAGGAUGCUUGUCAAGGAACCCUAGGACGAAAUACAUGAUAAGACCAUUGGAGCAUUUUAUCUUGCGUCCCACAAAAUGUUUUAGGUCUCCAGCAUUUUCGUCAGAAGAUUUUGCUUUCCGGCUGGAGACCUUUCCCUGCAAGAGAAGCUAAUUCUUCUUAACCACCCACAUCUUCAGGGGUGGCUUAGAAGCAAUGAGUCUAAGUGCAGCAUCUGAGAACUUUGGCUUGGGAGCCCUAGCAAAUAGCUUCGCAGGAGGAGAAUAGUACUCAUAUGAAUAUGCAGAAAAGUUCUUAGUUUUGUGAACAUAGUCGUUAGAGGAAGCACGCUCAUAUUCAUGAGUCUCAUAAAGGUUCUCCUGCAAAACAUUGGCGUUAGGGUGACCAUGAGUUGUCCUCUAUAUGUAUGAAGCCUUAGGUCUGGGGUUUGUCUUCUUCCCAGGUGAUGUCAUGAUGACAUUCAUGGGAAGCUUCUCAAGACAGCUUUUGGGCACCCAGAUCUUCUUCUGGGGUGACCCGUUCCUAUAGUUAGUACUAAUGUACCUAGCAAACACUUCACCAUUCUGAAUCUUAAACAGUUUAUAAUUGGCAUCAAAAGAAUUAUCAAUGACAAUUGGGUUAGCAUGAGUGAAGCCAGAUAAAGUGGAUGGAUCCACUGACGGAUCCUUAGCAGCAACCCGGGUGGUUUUGGGGUACUGCUCAGGCGUCCAAUAUGAACCAUCAACGUUCAUUUUCCUCUCAAACCCAACACCCUCUUUCCUAGGGUUUCGGUUCAGAAUCUUUUUCUUGAGGACAUCACACAAGGUUUGAUGCCCUUUGAGGCUUUUGUACAUGCCAGUCUUAAGCAAUGUCUUCAACCUAGCAUUCUCAUCAACAAUAGUAGUGGCAUCCUCGGUAGAGGGGUUAGUUACCACAUCAGCAGUUGAAGAUAUUGCAACAUCAGAAGUAGUAGAACAUCCAGCAAUAGAGACAACAUUAUCACGCUCAAGACACUUUAAGCAUGGUGGAACAAAUUCUACCUGAGCGGAACUGGUCUGUUGGGCGAGUAGUGAAUCGUUCUCUUUUUGAAGAUCUUCAUGAGACACUCUCGGUUUCUCAAGAUCAUGCUUCCUUUGAAGAUAAUCGUAGGAAAGCUUCUCAUGAGAGGCUGAGAGAGUUUCAUGACGACUUUCAAGUUCUUCAUACUUAACAUGAAGACUUUUAAUGUCUUCGAUUAAGGACUGAGUUCGAUUCAUUUCCGCGUCCAACAGGUCAUCGCUUUUGUCUAGUAGCUUUUGAAUAUGUUCCAUAGCAGUUUGUUGCUCAGUUGAAAUUUUAGCAAGUGUCUUAUAGCUAGGUUUGGAUUCACGAGGUUACCUUGACACCACGUGCCAUGAGGCAGUAGGUUGGAUCAAAUGGCUCGGGUUCAAAAGUCAUCGUUUUAAGAGACUCCUUGAAUUUGCAGAACCACGGGUCUUGAUGGGUUUGAUGACCCUCAUAGACAUCAGAAAUCUGGUCCCAGAUAAGCUUCGCAUUGCAGAGAUGCAUGAUGCGCCUAAACUCAUCAUUGGACAGAUAUGAGCAUAUGAUAUCCUUAGUCGUGAUAUCCAGUUGAGUUUACUUUUUAAUGUCAUCAGCAUUCGCCAUCUUGCAUAAAUCGGUGAGACCAAUCUCCGUGACAGUCCACAGCUCACUGUUAAUUGCAAGGAGGCGCUUCCUCAUCAUUGCCUUCCAUAUGGGAUAAUCAUGACCAUCAAAAAUAGGACACGCAGCAGAGACUUUGAUUAUCCCUGCAGUCGACAUAGCUAAAAACUCUAGGUGGUUAAACCGAAUCACACAGAACAAGGGAGUACCUUGCUCUGAUACCAAUUGAAAGUGCUAGUUAUCAACUAGAGGGGGGUGAAUAGGCGAUUUUUAUGAAAGUCUUCAAAACAUGGUAGCUUUGAAGACAAACAAGUAAACAUAACCUAUAUAGUAAGCAGCGGAAUGAAGACUACACUAGGCAAGCAUUAGUCAAGCAUACAAUAUAGUGAAAGCACGAAGACUAACUGCAACUAGGUAGACAGGAUCAAUAUGGAUGAUAGUACGAAGCUAAACAGAUAUAAGUCUUCACACAAUGAAGUCAAACAAAUCAGGCAGGCAAGCAAUGACUACACGAAGACAAACGAAAAGGUAAGGAGAGUAGGGGAUAGAACCAGAUGCUUGGUGAAGACAAGGAUUUGGUAGACUAGUUCCAGUUGUUGUGACAAUUGUACGUCUGGUUAGGGAGGCUGAGACUGAACUCAGAAGACUGUGUCUUCACCUUAUUCCCCUUGAGCUAAGGACACCCAGUCCUCGCCCAAUCACUCUGAUAAGUCUUCAAGGUAGACUUCCAAACCUUCACAGACUUUGUUCACCGGCAAUCCACAAUGACUCUUGGAUGUUCAGAACGCGACGGCUAACCGGCUAGAGGAUUCACUCAAGUGUAACAAGUCUUCUGAUCACUCGGACAGAAAGACUUCAGUGAUGCCUAACACUUUAUGGCUCUGGGUGUUUUGGGCUUAGUCCUCGCAAGGAUCUCUCCCUCAAAUGCUUCAGAGGUGGGUUGCUCUCAAAUGACAGAAGUCGUGCACUAACUCUGAGCAGCCACCAAUUUGUGGUGUAGGGGGUGGGAUAUUUAUAGCCAGGAGGCAACCCGACCUGAUAUGUCCGAAAUGAUCCUGGGUCACUAAGGAACUGACACGUGUCCAACGAUUAGAUUUCAAACUCACGCGGCAGCUUGGCUUGGGCUACAAGAAAAGUUGACUCAUCCAGCUCUGGAUAAGGUUUGCUCUCAUUGUCUUCGCUCGAAGACAUAGGAUUUGGUUGAGCAUUACUUCAUCACUCUGACUUUGUUCACUUGGACCCCACUUAACAGUACGGUGGUUCAUAUGACUCAACAAAGAAUAAAGGAAACUACGAAACAGCUAUGUCUUCGCACUCCAUAGUCUUCAAGUGAAUAUCUUCACAUGUCAUAAUCUUCGUCGAGAAUGUCUUCACGAACCACCAUUGUCUUUAAUGUCUUCACACAUUUUUAGGGGUCAUCUCUGGUAGGUAAACCGAAUCAAUGAGGGACUACUACCUGUGUUAUCCUGCAAUUCUCACAAACACAUUAGUCCCUCAACCACGUUUGUCGUCAAUACUCCAAAACCAACUAGGGGUGGCACUAGAUGCACUUACAAUAUUUAGUCCCAACAGAAAUACAUGGUUGUAAGCAUUAAAACCCCAUGCCCAUACCUCUUUUUAUUAUAAGUGUUUCAUCACCAUUAGCUUGAUUGAUCCGGCCAAAAGCAGGAUUAUUUCUUUGACAGAAGCUUGCUAGAAACCAUCACUUCAGGGGGACCUUCCUCUCUCGGAUUCAAUAACCCAAUGUCACCUCUUUCGGGAAAUAGGUGUAGGGUACUUUCUGUUCCUUUACCGGAUCACUAAAAAGGGAAGUACCAUCCAGCAUGGUGCUCGGUAGGGCACGACGGCUUGUUUUGCAUCCUGUGGUCCUACGUUCGGUCGGCCAUUGAUGGAUCUGAUGCCUCAUGCUAGAGCUUAGCCACCGCUGGCCUCUAUGAGGUGCGGUUGGCUGCGGCAGAUCUCGGUGCUUCUUCAUCGGCAAGCGGGUUUGAUAGUGGUGGUUGGUGGUCUUGCCAGUGCUGGUGCUUGUUGAUAUGUGGCGGAGGAUGUGUUGGGGGCUUGGGUGAAGGCUAAUGCCCUUCGGGAUCCGGUCCAAAUAGCUACCUUUUACCUAAGGAGUGACCCUAGGUUAUCGAACCCACGAGAGGAUGUGCACUACGACUGAGAGUCAAACAAGUUAUUGUUGUUGAAUUAAAUUCUAGUUUUUAACCAGACCUUUAACAACCUUUUUGGAAGUAGACACUGGUAUGAAAUAGGCAUGCGUAUGAGGUCUUACUCUCACAACCUUAUAGUUGUGAUUGGGAUCUCAUCUUGAUAAUAAACAUAGCUCUGUAAGAUUACCAUUGCGGUGUGUUUGCUACGCGAUGAAGUGGGGAUGCGUCCAAAGAACGUCUUGACCGGUCACGACCUGCAUCAAAAGUUAGUUGUCCAACUGGUGGCCCUUACCGUCGCGUGGGGUUACCUUGGUUAAUUAUUAAGAAUUACUUCAAACAAGAGCAUUGCGCGUUUAAGGACCACACCUCAUUUAUCCCCAAGGAAUUGAUUCUCGCUAUCGUACUAAUCCCUUCUCUCACUGUUGUUCAGAAUAGCGUUCCCCGCAUCCUCGCUUCUUACCUCCUCUUGAUCGAUAUACGAGUCAUGGGUACAUGUAGGGCCUUAGAAACUCCGUUGAAAUCAAACACAUACAAAUAACCUCAAAUACACGAAGUCAUUCCAAAGACCUCUGUGCACAAAUACAUUCAGUUGCAAGGCCUUGCCUCAACUCAUUGCCUUACCGAAUUAGUCCUACAUGACAAUCAGAUCGCAAGAUGAACUCAUUGAAGACAAGAUGAAGAUGAAUGAUUGGUUUUAUAAUACGUCUUGCAAUAGUUGUUAGUUGCAAUACACCGAUUGCAAGUAUGACUAACUUGGAGAGAAUGGUUGCACCGAUGAAGGUGGUGGCGGCUAUAAAAGUGAGAUUGGAAAUGGCGACGUCUAUGGUUGGAAGAUGACUUCUAGUUCUCUAUUUCACGAAUGGUGGCUCUCACGUUGAGAUUCUUGCAUGGACCCCCAUUAUAGAAGUUGGUGAGGUAGACGCCCUUGAGUCGACGGCAUAUGUGGUACGAGCGUGCGCGCUCGUACCGUGUUGCCUUCUUCUCUACACUUCUUGUUUCCUCCUAUAUGAUGAUAUUCUUUCAUAUUUGAACCCAUUUCUUGUGGGAACACAUUAAUAAAGGAUUCACUUUCCUUACAUUCAUUAGUCAAUAAUAUCAAUAUCAGAGUGAUUCUCUCGACAGUAAAGAUGACAAGGGGAGCGAUGUAGGAGAUGCGACAAAGGUUGAUGUAGUCGGCUCUUCUCCAACGUGUCGUGGGAUGGCCUCGGUUUGUUGUUGUCAAGUCUUAGCAGGGUGGGAUGGCCUCGGUUUGUUUUUGUGAAGUCUUAACAGGGCCCGGUGGCAUACGGAUGACAAGCCUUGCCGUUCUCCGUUUUGAUGAUCUUCCACGGGGUCAGUCAGCCUUGCCUGGAGAGUUGCGCUAUCAUAUAUCCAAACGGCCCUCUAAGAAGUGAUGACAACGCUGCCGAUGCAUUGUAUGUCGACGCAUUGUCCCAACAAGGCCCUCAAAGUUUGUGCCACUCUGGCGGUCUGCUGAUGGUAUUUUUUGUUAAUUAACUAAGCAACUCUCUUUUGCUUUCCUUUGCAGAAAAAAAUGCUGGCAAGGGUAAGAAAAAACUAGCCAACUUAAACUGACUGCUAAGCACAGUUUUCAGAAGCGUGCAGUUGAUCAUGAAAAAGAAAACAACCAACCAAGUGGACGCCCUAGUCUGAGAAGGUGGGUCACAUCUCGCUUGUGCAAAUAUUAGAGCACGGAUAGCAGAAGGCAAAUCAGAAUCCACAGUAAAUCUCAGGCAAAAAAAGGGUGAGAGAAUAACAUAACAGAACAUCAUCGCACCAAGUACAAAGAUAAUCCUUGACUAAACAGCCAACAGAACUGAAUCCAAAGUAUCGUCUAAACUGCAAAAUCCCAGAUGAUUCACUAGGACAAAACACUAGUAGCAACUUAUGCUUCAGUCUGCUCCCUCAAGCGACGGAUAGUGCUCCUGACAGUGACCGCACUGGCAGUGCUGCAAACAC